AGCAGCCGCGGUAAUUCCAGCUCCAAUAGCGUAUAUUAAAGUUGUUGCAGUUAAAAAGCUCGUAGUUGAAUUUCGGGAUUAGUGCGCUGGUCAUGCCUUUGGUAUGUACUGGUGUUACUGGUUCCUACCUUCUGAAGAACCGUCAUGUCAUUAAUUUGGUGUGGUGGGGAAUCAGGACUGUUACUUUGAAAAAAUUAGAGUGUUUAAAGCAGGCUCACGCUUGAAUACAUUAGCAUGGAAUAAUGAAAUAGGACGUUUGAUUCUAUUUUGUUGGUUUCUAGGAUCGACGUAAUGAUUAAUAGGGAUAGUUGGGGGCAUUAGUAUUCAAUUGUCAGAGGUGAAAUUCUUGGAUUUAUUGAAGACUAACUACUGCGAAAGCAUUUUGCCAAGGAUGUUUUCAUUAAUCAAGAACGAAAGUUAGGGGAUCGAAGACGAUCAGAUACCGUCGUAGUCUUAACCAUAAACUAUGCCGACUAGGGAUCGGAUGAUGUUAAUUUUUUAAUGACUCAUUCGGCGCCUU
RNAcentral lists this ribosomal RNA (520 nucleotides) under uncultured Glomus. RNAcentral's name for it is "SSU rRNA". It matches the Rfam family "Eukaryotic small subunit ribosomal RNA", at positions 569 to 1089 of the family's 1831-position model. Lineage: Eukaryota; Fungi; Glomeromycota; Glomeromycetes; Glomerales; Glomeraceae. The record is from RNAcentral.